Molecule: transfer RNA, 72 nt
Filed under: Camelus bactrianus (Bactrian camel)
Lineage: Eukaryota; Metazoa; Chordata; Mammalia; Artiodactyla; Camelidae
Also listed under: 2 other names
Rfam family: tRNA
About the family: Transfer RNA (tRNA) molecules are approximately 80 nucleotides in length.
Source: Rfam by way of RNAcentral
GAGGGUAUAUCUCAGUGGUAGAGUGCGUGCUUAGCAUGCAUGAGGUCCUGGGUUCAAUCCCCAGUACUUCCA